UAAUACAGAGGGUGCGAGCGUUGUCCGGAAUCACUGGGCGUAAAGGGCGCGUAGGCGGCCUGGUAAGUAGGAGGUGAAAUUCUGCGGCUUAACCGCAGAGCUGCCUUCUAAACUGUCAGGCUUGAGCACGGUAGAGGCUGGUGGAAUUCCCGGUGUAGCGGUGGAAUGCGUAGAGAUCGGGAAGAACAUCGGUGGCGAAGGCGGCCAGCUGGGCCGUUGCUGACGCUGAGGCGCGAAAGCGUGGGGAGCAAACAGGAUUAGAUACCCUGGUAGUCCACGCUGUAAACGAUGGGUACUAGGCGUCGGGGGGAGCGACCCUCUCGGUGCCGUCGCUAACGCAGUAAGUACCCCGCCUGGGGAGUACGGCCGCAAGGCUG
This 377-nucleotide ribosomal RNA is filed under the name uncultured bacterium. Its description in RNAcentral is "bacterial SSU rRNA". It matches the Rfam family "Bacterial small subunit ribosomal RNA", at positions 521 to 896 of the family's 1533-position model. The record is from RNAcentral.